AGGAGGUCGAGCGCCGCGUUGAGGUAAACGUCGAUCUUGUGCACGCCGUUCCGGAUAGUUUUCAGCGUCAUCCUCCAGUCUGGGGUCUGCGGCGCCUCCUGGCUCCGGGCCGCCGGCGGCCGCGGGCCCACCCAGGCACCCGCCAUCAGCAGCGGCAGCAGCAGCAGGGCGCGGGCCAUGCCCGAGGAGCCGCGCCCCGCGCCGCCGGGCGCUCGCUAAGCCCCCGCCGCGCGGCCGCAGCGCUCCGCACGCACGGCCCGGCCCGCCGCCAUCGGCCCCGCGGGCGCCGCCCCUACGGCUGGGCGGGACUGCGAGCAGGGCGCGGCCUGUUGGAGAAGGCGGCCGGCGUCCGCUCCUGGCCCGGCGCUGCGGUGUGGGGUGCUGGGAGCGGAGCUGCUCCGGGAUCUUUCCACGUGCGAGCGAUUCGCUUUCAGGUAACGGCACCGAGUGCGCGCGGUGCGGCCGCAAGUAGGGCGGUGCGGGAGGACCUCUAUUCAGCGCUGAAAGCCCAACGUUGGGGUGCUGAGAAUGGCACCCCGUGAGCCCUGUGCUCUAACACCGCGUUCUGCGUUUCUUAGGUGAGGCAGGGUGGAACCACACGGGAAUCGUUCUAAUUUCUGCAACGAAAGCCUUGUUUUAAGACGUGUGGAAUUCCUCAAAAGACGGACAGAGGGAUUUUAGGACACAGGUAACUGCAGGGGACGGGAAAUAUAAAGAACAUGGAAAGGCUUCCGGAUCUGCAGGCGGGCGCGAAAGUACCCGGGUUUCCAGACACUGGGAGACCAGUAUAUUGUUUUCUGUGAAAUGGAGAAACGCCUCUGAUCAUCCUUGUUACUUCUUUCUCAGAAAGAUGAGAGGACUGGAACUUGCAGAUACAGGUGAGCUAUGUAGUACAAGGUUAAGGAGUGCAUAAGCUAGUGCUCUUAUGCCAGGCUGCAGUCAUUCUGUGAUACAAAACAAGUGAUUCCCAAGGUUUUGAAAGCAUGCCUGCACUGGGCCUAUCCUUCUCUGGGUUGAACCUAUACGUGACUGAGAUGAGAUGUGCUGAGCUUCGUAACUGCUGGUUGCAUCUCAGAUCCGUUUGGGCAGGGCACAGAGGUCUGGCUGUGACCACGGGCCAUGUGUUAAAUACUGUUACCAAGUUUGCACAGCUAUGAUAAAUAUGAGACUGGUAAUUACAGCCACUUCUUCUGGAUGCCCCAGAGGUACUGAGCAGCUCUUGUCUCCCUUGAGAAGCAUCUACAGGAGCAGCACAACAAAUAAGUUUCUUGCUUAUGUGUAUGUUGUCUGACUGCUGCUGUCUCACUCCUGCUGUCUCAUUCCUGCUCUCUUGCUGCACUGUGCUGUCACCAAGUGUGCUGCAGUGGAGUCAGGCUGCGGAUAAAGCUGCAAACUGAACAUUGCCUUUUAUCAGGUUAGCUCUCAAAGAGGUCCUCCAAACCAAUUUAUUGGGACAAGAGGGAGCAGUACAAAAAAGAGAAUUGACAGCCAAAUGCCGACAGCCAAAUGCCAACAGCCUGUGUUUGCUGUGCUCAGCCUCUUGCACGUGCUUUGCAUGCACCACUCUUCAGCCUUUUCAAUAUGAGAGCUGACCAUUGUUUGAAAAACAUAGAUAAAAAUAAUACAUUCUGGUAGUAAUGAAUUGAAUGAAUGAAUGGUAGCACUGAAUCAAAUACCUUUCUCUAGUCCCCAUCCAGAAACCUUGCAUUUAUCGCCAGCCUUGAACAUAUGCUCUGACCAGGGGACGCAGGCAGGUGUGCUGUAUUUCAAGGAGCACUCUCCUUUUCCAUGACCUUUCAGCUCCAGCAGAGCGAUGUCAUUUUCAUAAGUUGCAGCAUCAUACUUCUCAUGGAUUAUCAGUUGCUUUAGUCUGUAAGUGUCUGUCUCUCUGUCAUACUGUAUUGUAUCCAACAGCCCAAUCCAGACACGGUAUUGAUGAACUCGAGUUGCUCUGGAAAAGGAGCCAAUGAAAUAUGUUUUGGUACCUCACACAAGCACUGUAUGUUUCAAUUACUCAUAAAUUUUUGCAUUUUAUCAAAGUUUAUGUGGAAUAAAUAUUCAUAUUAUACACGUAUAGUUUCUUUCUGGACUUGUAUGUCGCAGUUGUUCUGAAGGAGGUAGAAGGCUGGUGACACUUAUUGCUGAGUCCUGAAGCUAAUACAGAAAGACAGUACUAAAGGCCAGUGUGUUUAGUGCCCUCACAAAGAGAAAGCAAAGCUUAUGUCUCUGAUAUCAGAUGAAAGAAGAAUGGGCAAAUACACAUGGAACACUGGGCUCGGCAGGUCUUUCCUGCCCACUCCUGCUGGCUCUGGGGAAUAGGUGGCACCAGGGACAUUCUUGGGGGACAGGCACUAGACCUCCCCAGUGCUGAGAGGAGGUAAUUCGUAAUUACUUUUUUGCUCACUGACAAAAUGCUUUGUCUUUGAAUCCCUCCCACUGUUAAUGUGAGCAAAUCAGUGAUUUUAGUUGUGUUAUUGAAUGGGCAAGUAAGAAUUAGCAACCAAGUAGCCGAGAAGAGCAAUAAUGCACAGAUUCAUCUUUUCUACUUUGCAAAGAAAUCAUUUCUCAGGUUGUUGCUUUUACCUGACACAGUGUGCAGCAGUCAGAACCCAACAGCCACCAAUAUAAACCCCUCCACAGUACACUGUUGCACCUUCAGUGCCAGUGUCUUUAAUUGCCACUUGCCAAGGGAAUUCACCCUAUUAAAAUGACAGAAACCCAAAUAAUAUGAAAUCAUCAUUGUGCUAUUUUUUGUGCAUAAAGGGAAACACAAUAUCACUUCAUCUCCUUGACUUAAUCUGCUAUUAAGAAGUUGUCUGUAAUCUGGGCUCUGACAUAAAAGCUCUGUAUUCUAAACUACAGUAACGUUGUUGUCUUCUGACAUUAUGCAGUGUCUCCCUCCCCGCAGCUUUCUGUCAGGAAACUCCUAAAAAAACCAGAUGGAGGAUCUGACCUGGUAUGAUCAAACGUUACAUUUAUGACUAUAAUUAUCAUACAUAGCUAUAGUAUUAAGUAUUUUGCUGGAUUAUUUUCAACACAUACUUGCACUGUAAUGCUGUAUUUUGUAGCUUGGUGUUUUACCUUAUGAACUGUGCUUCUAUUUAUAUUCAUUCAGUGCAUUGUCACUACUAAUGUAAAACAUGAAAUUAAUGUAACUGAUUUUGUUAUUUCCGUACAUUUUAACAGAAGGACAAUAAUAACCAUUUAAAUUGUUACUGAAUGAACACAUGAGCCUAUAUUUGUAAGGUCUGGUUGUGUCUGUGUGUGGGGGGUUAUUAUUAUUUUUUACCUUUCUUGCAGUCUGUCCACCUAUGAUUCUUUUCCGUCGAGUUAAUGUGUGAUUUACAACACCGCAGUUUAUUUGGGGAAGGAAUGUCUUUGCCAGUUUUCUUUCUUUAACAAAAAGGAAGAAUGUGUCUCAGAAUUCAAGUAUUCAUUCUCUCUAUUUGGAGACAGACUUAUCUUUACCUUGAAAUCAUGAGUGCUGUGAGUAUGCAAGUGGCUGAAGUAGCAGGAAAGCAAAAGACCCAGAAUUGUUACAUCUAUUUUUGCUUUGAAAAUUACUUCUGUCUUAGCAUCACAAUAUUUCUGUUUAUUUUUCAUUACUGACAGCAUUCAGGUGAAUAAUUUCAAAGCAGUCGCCGUAGACUUGCUUAGAGUUUACCUCUAUCCGUUGCUAAUAUGUACAGAUGUGGAUCCUGAGGCAGGAUUAAUUAUUAUUGUGGUUGAGAUUAGUGGAAAGCUAGUCAAAUAGUUAAGCCCCAGAGUGUGUACUACUAAGCCACAAAGUCCAUGUAUCUGAGUGUUGCGAAUCUGGCCAACUGGCUGGUAGUUAGAAAGCCACUAAAAAGAGGGUAUACGGUGGUUUGUGGGCCGUUACUUACCUGCAUCCAUACUGUGAUUUUCCUCAUGUUUUGGUUUGCCUGUAGUGGAAUAAUAGAAUACUAAGAACAUUUACAAAUAUUUAUAUUGUUCUGUUACUUGAAUAUUUGGUUGUGUACCAAAAUUAUGGUACAUUUUCAACUGGAUAGGUGCAUAACAUUUCGCAUAGACAGAAAUACUCUGUAAGCAUUGUGCCUGCUGUUUUCUUUUUCCUAGGCACUCAUUGCUGCCAUAGCUUACAAAUGACUGGCAUCCAGCAGAUAUUGAUUUACAACUACAUGAUAUCUAGUCUUCUUUUCUUGUCCAGAGGACCAUUCUGCAAAGAAACCCUGUGAAAUGGCCUCCUUUGUUUUUUGUUUUUUUUUUUAAGUCUCUAAAGCGAUAGACUGCUCUCCUCUACCAGGAAACACCAGAAAUUCCCCCUCCUGCCCCGUCAAUCUUUUGGAGCUUUCUAAAGCCCAAAGGAGCAUUAGGUAAGAAGAUCAUUCCCCUGGUGUGAUUUUCACUCUUCCUGGUCACCCACAAGCUAUACUCUUCAAAAAUCAGCUGAAGUGCACAACAGAUGAUAAACAUUUCAAGCCAGUGGUUUAUAGCACACCACAACAAUGGAACUGUGAGCAAAUUAAAAUAUAAGGGGACUUCACAGAAUCACACAGAAUGGCCUGGGUUGGAAGGGACUUCAAGGAUCAUGAAUCUCCAACCCACCCCCCUGCCCCCCCGGCACUGGCAGGGCCACCAACCUCUACAUUUAAUACUAGAGCAGGCUGCCAAGAGCCCCGUCCAGCCUAGCCUUGAACACCUCCACGGAUGGGGGAUCCACAACCUCUCUGGGCAGCCUGUUCCAGCACCUUACCACUCUCACAGUAAAGAACUUGCCCCUGACAUCCAACCUAAAUCUUCCCUCCUUCAACUUAAAACCAUUUCCCCUUGUCCUGCUAUUAUCUCCCCUUUCAAAGAAUUGACUCCCCUAACUUGGCUUAAACACCAGAAAAAUGAAAUUAAAAAAAAAAGAGUAGCAACUUGAUUUUUUUUCAAGACCUUUUUAUUGUCCCAGUUGACCCAGUUGACAUAACUAUAGCCAAUAACUACUUAGAAACAAAUAAAUCUAAAAUUGAAGAUGUGUUUCAUUGCAAGUAACAAGUAUUAAGUAUCUUCAACAAAUGUGAAAAUUAAGUGCCCUUCCCAGUCUGUUUUGUUCCCAUAUCUUGGAUGGCAGUGGGUUUGCAGUGUGGUUUCUGGUUGUUGUGGACUGCAAGGAGUGCUCCUUAUCCCUCCAUCUGACCAUCUGUCUCUAGGUGAGUGAUAACACCUAUCCUGGCAGCUCUCUGGUUAUUCCAUUGCUGGCUGAGUGCUUUUGCUCACUAAGAUGUGUGUGCAGGGGGAAUGUUGAAAUGUGAAAAAUAUGUAGCUAGACUUUGCAUAAAGAUGAGAAAGAAAUGUCAGUUGUCAGAUCGGAUUUAUCGGCUUUGAGUGCAUCCACUGAAUCAACAGAGCCAAAGUUUAAAGUUCUCGUGAAGAAAUCCUGGCCUAAGUAAAGGCAGUGGGAAUGUCGCCAGGGCUGAAUUUAUUCCGAGCCCCUCCCACCCUUUUAAGGGCUGUAUAAUCUUAAUAAAUUCUUCCUGUUCUUCUCAGGUCAGUAGAAUCCUAUGCAUUAUCUUUAGAUUUACAUACCAAACUCUGAGCCAGGCCCGGCUUGGCAUAACUCCUGUAUUGCACUAGAUGUUUCUCUUUAGCUCUGACAGAAUAGCAACAAAAGGGGCUGAUCUUUACCUACGGGUUUUUCUUGGAAAGCUCAGGCUAUGCUGAACAUGGAGCCCAUCAGGACUCCUUGAGAGGCUUUUGCCAGAAGAGAUUUUACAACAAAAGCUUUCUGAGCUGAGCCACACUUGCAGGUUGGGUUUAGCAUAGCAUCCCGAUUAAAAGAUUUUCCAAAAGGCUGUUAAUGUAAACCUCAGAUAGAACCGAUAUACAGAGGAGAAACAGCAAGAUUCACAUUUUCAAGCUGGACUAAAACAAAUGUACGAAAUGCAGAUGCUGCAAAAGGAAAUUAAAAAAGACUUUGUUUUUAUAAUAAUAAAUUGUUUUAACUGUUUGCUGUUGGUUGGUUUGUUUUUAAAAUAAGGGGAUACCACAAUAAAAUAAGUUCUUACCUGUGCUCGACAGAAAGAAAAGAGAGAGAAGCAAACCAAGAGAACUGCAACCACUCUCAUGAUGAGGUUUUAUGUCUUUGUAGAGAAAUUCCCCUGGCCGGGACUUUCCCAAUUGCCAGUCGUUAGGUUUGUGUUUAAUUUUUAACCUUUGGUAAAACACUCUGAAGUGGACUCAGAAACAACUACGGGAGCCUUAGAUAUCAACGGAUGAGUCUGCUCUCUCCACACGGAUCCCACCCCAUUUAACCUGUUUUACUGUAAAUAGAGACCAAAGGGAAGCCCUUGAAGCCAACGGUUACAAGGGAGUGCUCAGCAGGGUCUCUCGCUCCCCGCCUGCUGCCAACGCAGACCGAUGGAGCCGCGGGCCGAUCUCCUGGCAGCAGGCACCCCGCUCUGCAGGGAGCUGUUAGGGCAGGUGCGUUCUUAGGUGAGAUACGUGUGUCUGUAUGCAGGCAGGCAAACGGAACGGAUCAACUCCACUAUCUCCGUGCGAGAGCGUAACCGGCGGAGCCUUGCUCAGAGAACUGUUGGGGCAGUGGCCAAUCCACUGCAUCCCACCUGCGGGCGGUUUCCGGGAGAACCGCGGUCUCGGCCGGCACAACGGAACGGCUCCUGCGA
RNAcentral lists this long non-coding RNA (6650 nucleotides) under Gallus gallus (chicken). The record is from RNAcentral. Lineage: Eukaryota; Metazoa; Chordata; Aves; Galliformes; Phasianidae.